AGCAGCCGCGGUAAUUCCAGCUCCAAUAGCGUAUAUUAAAGUUGUUUGCAGUUAAAAAGCUCGUAGUUGAAUUUCGGGAUCAAUAUAUUGGUCAUGCUUAGGUAUGUACUGGUAUUAUUGAUUUCUCCCUCCUGAAGAACCGUAAUGUCAUUAAUUUGAUGUCAUGGGGAAUCAGGACUGUUACUUUGAAAAAAUUAGAGUGUUUAAAGCAGGCUUUCGCUUGAAUACAUUAGCAUGGAAUAAUGAAAUAGGACGUUUGAUUCUAUUUUGUUGGUUUCUAGGAUCGACGUAAUGAUUAAUAGGGAUAGUUGGGGGCAUUAGUAUUCAAUUGUCAGAGGUGAAAUUCUUGGACUUAUUGAAGACUAACUACUGCGAAAGCAUUUGCCAAGGAUGUUUUCAUUAAUCAAGGACGAAAGUUAGGGGAUCGAAGACGA
RNAcentral lists this ribosomal RNA (434 nucleotides) under uncultured Glomus. RNAcentral's name for it is "SSU rRNA". It matches the Rfam family "Eukaryotic small subunit ribosomal RNA", at positions 569 to 1007 of the family's 1831-position model. Lineage: Eukaryota; Fungi; Glomeromycota; Glomeromycetes; Glomerales; Glomeraceae. The record is from RNAcentral.